This is a long non-coding RNA of Pongo pygmaeus (Bornean orangutan), 2342 nucleotides long. RefSeq lists it as uncharacterized. The transcript is spliced from 4 exons. Lineage: Eukaryota; Metazoa; Chordata; Mammalia; Primates; Hominidae. The record is from RefSeq and is a predicted model, not a curated record.
GGGAGGCGCGAGGGAGCCGCCCCCGCGGUCUGCGCGCUUGCCCGGCGGCUCCUGAGUCCGCGUUCCAAGUGGAACCGGAGCCCGGGCGCGGGCGCCCACGUUCCAUGCCUGGGAAGGGAGAGAAUCGCUCACUCGCCAGCCCGCCUGCAGGGAAAGGGCUUCUGGAGCUGUCGAUGCCUGCCCGACGCUGAGAUAACUCUUGGGUCCCCGUUAACCACCAGCCACUUCUGCCUCGAUUCACCAAAGUGCAGGGAAAGAACCUUUUGGUGAGAUGGUGUGAAUUAGCGACAUCCAGCCUGAGCUGAAGUCUCCAGCGGGGCAAAGAAAUCUUUCCAUUUGCAAACUACCAAGGCUGACUUGCUGUGCAUUUGGCGGGCCUCCUGCCCGUGAUUCUGCUGGUUUGGAGAUGCUUUCUCGAUCUUUGGUUGGCUUCUGGCUCCACACAUUGUGUGGAUCCCAGGGAUUCGUCAUAGGACUCUCGGAUCGCUGGUGCCUCCACCGUUAUCUCCGGUCUCCCUGCGGCCAGCACUGACUUCUAGCAACAGAAUCCUGCAUGAGGGCCUAGGCACAGAACUUUUUUUCCACUCUUCUGAACACAUCUAACGUGAUGCUCUGCAAUUGUCUGAAAUUUAUCCUACCCUAAGUCAUUGUCUUGUCCCCUUCUCUGGAACCUGCUUCACUUCCCGUAUCCCAAGGGAAAAGCAUGAAUGCAGUAUGCUACUACCACAAAUUACGCAGUUGAGUUUCCCACAUUUGGAGAAAUCACAGGGAUCAGCAAGUCUUCAGUGGAAUAGAGAAGCCUUGCCCUAGGAAAAACUACCCUUGUGGUCAUGGUAUCUACCCUUCCUGGUGAAGAAGGUCCUUGCUUCCCCUUCUCCUUCCACCAUGAUUGUAAGUUUCCUGAGGCCUCCCCAGCCAUGUAGAACUGAUUUUUAUAAAUCUUGACCUUCAUAUUAUUGUACCAUUCAUGAUUUUGUGGUUUCAAAGGUGGCUUUUCUUUUCCUAAUUAUUUAUUUAAAUCUUUAAUUCCUCCUGUGAAUUCUGCCAGCUCACUUUUCAUUUUUCCAUGGUCAUGUAUUUUAUUUUAUAUUUUUCAUUAUUUUUUAAAGUUAAAAUUAUUUUUAAUGGAUUUCUGUUCCUGGCUCUGAUGGAGCAACAGGGACCCUCUUACUUUAAAAAAAAUAGACAAAAUUUAUAAAGGAUGGUUCUCAAACACAGGACAACAGGCAGUAUAAACAGUAAUUUUUCAAAGAAGAUAAACAAAGGAAGUAAACCCUAUGGUUUCUCCACCGAUUCCCUAGAGAGAGAUUCCAAGCUAUCAGUCUCACUCAAUUGAGAAGACAGAGUUCACUGAGAAUUUGGGGAAAGUCAAAGUGGACAGAAUUCACAAAGAACUAAAAAAAAGAGUAUUGUGCAGAGAAAGAGCUCCAGCUACCUCCAGAGAGUUUCCCUUGAGUUUUCAGAGCAUGCGUUUGGGGAACCCACCUGAGGCAAGGGAAAGAACUACCAGAAAGAAACAGGUGGAAAAAUUCCUGAUGUUCACAUAGACUGGGAAAUUUCUCAAGUUUUUGUCAUCUGAAGUGAAGAAAUCUUACACUGUAUGAGGUGUUGAAGAGAAUACUUAGAAGGACAAUGCCUCCAUAGUAGGACCAAACUAGCCUAGAGUAAAGGCUGGUCUGUCUUGUAUGACUCCUUGUGAAACUGUUCUGCUGAGUAUGUCACCAAUUUUCUAAGCGAAUCUAAGUGAUUCCAAGUAAUAAGUUGAAAUUCUCACUAUUCGUAUGUUUUUAUUAAUUAUUCAUUGUGGUUGUAAUAGUUUUUGGUUUAUAAUAUUUUGUUGGUCUGUUAUUUGCUGCAUAGUGGUUUAUGAUAGUUAUAUCUUUAUUGGAUCUUUAACAAUGUAGAAUAAGUUCUUUGUUUCAUUUCAUGUUAUUUGUUUUUAAAUUUUACUUCUUAUUUAACAGUAAUGUUGCAAAUCUUUAAAAAUGUUUUACUUUAUUUGUAAGGAAAACACCUAAAGCAAAGUGAAACAAAAAAUGAUGUAGGAUCUAUUAUUAUUAUUUUCCAUCAUGUGAAUCUUUGUCUUAACAGAGAGGCUUCUUCUAUUUAUAUUUGUUGUUACAAUUGAUUUCUUUCAUCAUUCUGUUAUUUCAGUGUUUUCUCUUUAAAAAUAUGUUCUUGUUAUUCAAUGAUUUAGUUUUCGCUUUAUGUACCAUUUUCUUUAUUUUGUCCUUCAUAUUUUGCAAGCUAUAUGGCCUCUGUUAAACUCUAUUAAUGGAUAUCUUUAAGCAUUCUUUGACAUGUAAUUUUCUAAUGUCCCAGUAAAUAAAGAAUGUGUCAAC